RNAcentral lists this small RNA (52 nucleotides) under Paracoccus tibetensis. RNAcentral's name for it is "Paracoccus sp. Tibet-S9a3 ffh sRNA". It matches the Rfam family "ffh sRNA". The record is from Rfam by way of RNAcentral. Lineage: Bacteria; Pseudomonadati; Pseudomonadota; Alphaproteobacteria; Rhodobacterales; Paracoccaceae.
GCGCGUAGGGAUCGCCCCCCGUCAGCGCGUCGCGCCCACGGGGGCGUUAUCG